This 208-nucleotide microRNA precursor is filed under the name Oryza glumipatula. RNAcentral describes it as "MIR812 microRNA precursor family". It matches the Rfam family "MIR812 microRNA precursor family". The record is from Rfam by way of RNAcentral. Lineage: Eukaryota; Viridiplantae; Streptophyta; Magnoliopsida; Poales; Poaceae.
AGUAAGUGCAGUUUUGCACUAUUCAUCUCCAAUGUUUGACCGUUCGUUUUAUUUGAAGAAUUUUUAUGAUUACUGCUUUUAUUGUUAUUAGAUGAUAAAACAUGAAUAGUACUUUAUGUGUGACUAAUUUUUUAAAAAAUUUUCAUAAAUUUUUCAAAUAAAACGGACGGUCAAGCGUUGGACACGGAUUUUCAUGACUGCACUUAUU